UGUUAGCGGCGGACGGGUGAGUAACACGUGGGUAACCUGCCUGUAAGACUGGGAUAACUCCGGGAAACCGGAGCUAAUACCGGAUAGUUCCUUGAACCGCAUGGUUCAAGGAUGAAAGACGGUUUCGGCUGUCACUUACAGAUGGACCCGCGGCGCAUUAGCUAGUUGGUGGGGUAAUGGCUCACCAAGGCGACGAUGCGUAGCCGACCUGAGAGGGUGAUCGGCCACACUGGGACUGAGACACGGCCCAGACUCCUACGGGAGGCAGCAGUAGGGAAUCUUCCGCAAUGGACGAAAGUCUGACGGAGCAACGCCGCGUGAGUGAUGAAGGUUUUCGGAUCGUAAAGCUCUGUUGUUAGGGAAGAACAAGUGCGAGAGUAACUGCUCGCACCUUGACGGUACCUAACCAGAAAGCCACGGCUAACUACGUGCCAGCAGCCGCGGUAAUACGUAGGUGGCAAGCGUUGUCCGGAAUUAUUGGGCGUAAAGGGCUCGCAGGCGGUUUCUUAAGUCUGAUGUGAAAGCCCCCGGCUCAACCGGGGAGGGUCAUUGGAAACUGGGAAACUUGAGUGCAGAAGAGGAGAGUGGAAUUCCACGUGUAGCGGUGAAAUGCGUAGAGAUGUGGAGGAACACCAGUGGCGAAGGCGACUCUCUGGUCUGUAACUGACGCUGAGGAGCGAAAGCGUGGGGAGCGAACAGGAUUAGAUACCCUGGUAGUCCACGCCGUAAACGAUGAGUGCUAAGUGUUAGGGG
This 753-nucleotide ribosomal RNA is filed under the name Bacillus sp. (in: firmicutes). Its description in RNAcentral is "bacterial SSU rRNA". It matches the Rfam family "Bacterial small subunit ribosomal RNA", at positions 90 to 829 of the family's 1533-position model. The record is from RNAcentral. Lineage: Bacteria; Bacillati; Bacillota; Bacilli; Caryophanales; Bacillaceae.